GAACCUGAACGCACCACGGCACACGGAGAUCUCUCUAGAUCCACCCACUGACCUCUCCUCUGUUCCUUUAUUUAAAUAUCGUUUCAGAUUUUGAACCGAUGGAUUUGCUGCAGAAGCAAGUAUUUUCCCAUCAGGACGUCUGGAGCCCGACUCAUUCAGCGUGGAACAGCUGGGCCAGAUCCAUGAGCCGCAGGUCUUCUUUGCAGAGUGGAAUCGCCCCUGAAGCGAAGAGCUCCUCCUUCCAGUCCACUGACAAUUUGUAUCCGCACUAUUCAGGUAUUAAGA
Long non-coding RNA from Etheostoma cragini (Arkansas darter), 285 nucleotides. RefSeq lists it as uncharacterized. The transcript has 4 exons. The record is from RefSeq and is a predicted model, not a curated record. NCBI's taxonomy places the organism in Eukaryota, Metazoa, Chordata, Actinopteri, Perciformes, Percidae.